This 220-nucleotide long non-coding RNA is filed under the name Elaeis guineensis (African oil palm). Its description in RNAcentral is "long non-coding RNA (EGUI_LNC009563)". The record is from RNAcentral. Lineage: Eukaryota; Viridiplantae; Streptophyta; Magnoliopsida; Arecales; Arecaceae.
AACUGAACUACUGUAACCAGUCGAGAAUAAUCAAUACUGGUUGGAUGCCUGCACUCCUACAAUGGUGGAAGACCUAUGACUUAAUAUUUGUAGGAAGAUUUAAUUUAAAUCUCAUCUUAAUUAGUCAUAACGGUUAUGAUUAACCCUAUGGAUGUGGGCUAACUCAAAUUAUUAAGUAACCACAUCAAGACUAAUUAACCAAAUUGGCUAGGUAAGUGCA